RNAcentral lists this ribosomal RNA (496 nucleotides) under uncultured bacterium. RNAcentral describes it as "partial 16S ribosomal RNA". It matches the Rfam family "Bacterial small subunit ribosomal RNA", at positions 29 to 507 of the family's 1533-position model. The record is from RNAcentral.
AUGAACGCUGGCGGCGUGCCUCAUCCAUGCAAGUCGCGCGAACGGACGAGAAGCUUGCUUCUCUGAUGUUAGCGGCGGACGGGUGAGUAACACGUGGAUAACCUACCUAUAAGACUGGGAUAACUUCGGGAAACCGGAGCUAAUACCGGAUAAUAUUUUGAACCGCCUGGUUCAAAAGUGAAAGACGGUCUUGCUGUCACUUAUAGAUGGAUCCGCGCUGCAUUAGCUAGUUGGUAAGGUAACGGCUUACCAAGGCAACGAUGCAUAGCCGACCUGAGAGGGUGAUCGGCCACACUGGAACUGAGACACGGUCCAGACUCCUACGGGAGGCAGCAGUAGGGAAUCUUCCGCAAUGGGCGAAAGCCUGACGGAGCAACGCCGCGUGAGUGAUGAAGGUCUUCGGAUCGUAAAACUCUGUUAUUAGGGAAGAACAUAUGUGUAAGUAACUGUGCACAUCUUGACGGUACCUAAUCAGAAAGCCACGGCUAACUACGUG